Molecule: unclassified non-coding RNA, 181 nt
Filed under: Glomeromycotina sp.
Lineage: Eukaryota; Fungi; Glomeromycota
Description: partial contains 5.8S ribosomal RNA and internal transcribed spacer 2
Rfam family: 5.8S ribosomal RNA (bases 1-71)
Source: RNAcentral
GUGAAUCAUCAAAUUUUUGAACGCAAAUUGCACUCUCUGGUAUUCCGGAGAGUAUGCCUGUUUGAGGGUCAGUAUAAACAAAAAUGGGUUGGGUUGCUUUCGGUGGUGGUCCCGCAUCGGAUGUGGGUCGUCUCUCCUUUGGAUAAGUGACCUACAAUCCUGCAUGAUUCUCUUGAACGCG